GAUGAAGAACGCAGCAAAAUGCGAUAAGUAAUGUGAAUUGCAGAAUUCAGUGAAUCAUCGAAUCUUUGAACGCACAUUGCGCCCCUUGGUAUUCCGAGGGGCAUGCCUGUUCGAGCGUCAUUAUAACCCCUCAAGCUCAGCUUGGUGUUGGGGCCUGCUGCACUGGCAGCCCUUAAAAUCAGUGGCGGCGCCAUCUGGCUCUAAGCGUAGUAAUUCUUCUCGCUAUGGAGUCCUGGUGGAUGCUUGCCAUCAACCCCCAAUUUUUCCAUGGUUGACCUCGGAUCAGGUAGGGAUACCCGCUGAACUUAAGCAUAUCAAUAAGCGGAGGA
Molecule: unclassified non-coding RNA, 329 nt
Filed under: soil metagenome
Description: partial contains 5.8S ribosomal RNA, internal transcribed spacer 2, and large subunit ribosomal RNA
Rfam family: 5.8S ribosomal RNA (bases 1-120)
Source: RNAcentral